UUCAAAAAUAUACAUAUAUACCUUUACAUUUCGUCCGUCUUAUUUGAAAAUUUUUUGAAAAAAUUUAAAACCAUAAGACACGUAUAAAGUACUAUUCAUGUUUUAUCAUCUCAUAAGAAUAAAAAUACUAAUUAUUAAAAAAGUUAAAUAAGACAGACAAUUAAAGUUGGGCACGAAAAUUAUGGUUGCACUUAAA
MicroRNA precursor from Oryza sativa Japonica Group (Japanese rice), 196 nucleotides. It matches the Rfam family "MIR812 microRNA precursor family". The record is from Rfam. NCBI's taxonomy places the organism in Eukaryota, Viridiplantae, Streptophyta, Magnoliopsida, Poales, Poaceae.